GAUUUGAUCCUGGCUCAGGACGAACGCUGGCGGCGUGCUUAACACAUGCAAGUCGAACGGAAAGGCCCCUUCGGGGGUACUCGAGUGGCGAACGGGUGAGUAACACGUGGGUGAUCUGCCCUGCACUUUGGGAUAAGCCUGGGAAACUGGGUCUAAUACCGAAUAGGACCGCAUGCUUCAUGGUGUGUGGUGGAAAGCUUUUGCGGUGUGGGAUGGGCCCGCGGCCUAUCAGCUUGUUGGUGGGGUAAUGGCCUACCAAGGCGACGACGGGUAGCCGGCCUGAGAGGGUGUCCGGCCACACUGGGACUGAGAUACGGCCCAGACUCCUACGGGAGGCAGCAGUGGGGAAUAUUGCACAAUGGGCGCAAGCCUGAUGCAGCGACGCCGCGUGGGGGAUGACGGCCUUCGGGUUGUAAACCUCUUUCAGUAUCGGCGAAGCUCCAGAUUUUUCUUGGGGUGACGGUAGGUACAGAAGAAGCACCGGCCAACUAACGUGCCAGCAGC
RNAcentral lists this ribosomal RNA (504 nucleotides) under Mycobacterium sp. LIV-2071. RNAcentral's name for it is "bacterial SSU rRNA". It matches the Rfam family "Bacterial small subunit ribosomal RNA", at positions 10 to 515 of the family's 1533-position model. Lineage: Bacteria; Bacillati; Actinomycetota; Actinomycetes; Mycobacteriales; Mycobacteriaceae. The record is from RNAcentral.